This 751-nucleotide ribosomal RNA is filed under the name uncultured bacterium. Its description in RNAcentral is "bacterial SSU rRNA". It matches the Rfam family "Bacterial small subunit ribosomal RNA", at positions 33 to 773 of the family's 1533-position model. The record is from RNAcentral.
ACGCUGGCGGCAGGCCUAACACAUGCAAGUCGAGCGGUGGCACAAGAGAGCUUGCUCUCUGGGUGACGAGCGGCGGACGGGUGAGUAAUGUCUGGGAAACUGCCUGAUGGAGGGGGAUAACUACUGGAAACGGUAGCUAAUACCGCAUGACCUCGCAAGAGCAAAGUGGGGGACCUUCGGGCCUCACGCCAUCGGAUGUGCCCAGAUGGGACUAGCUAGUAGGUGGGGUAAUGGCUCACCUAGGCGACGAUCCCUAGCUGGUCUGAGAGGAUGACCAGCCACACUGGAACUGAGACACGGUCCAGACUCCUACGGGAGGCAGCAGUGGGGAAUAUUGCACAAUGGGCGCAAGCCUGAUGCAGCCAUGCCGCGUGUGUGAAGAAGGCCUUAGGGUUGUAAAGCACUUUCAGCGAGGAGGAAGGCGUUGUAGUUAAUAGCUGCAGCGAUUGACGUUACUCGCAGAAGAAGCACCGGCUAACUCCGUGCCAGCAGCCGCGGUAAUACGGAGGGUGCAAGCGUUAAUCGGAAUUACUGGGCGUAAAGCGCACGCAGGCGGUUUGUUAAGUCAGAUGUGAAAUCCCCGAGCUUAACUUGGGAACUGCAUUUGAAACUGGCAAGCUAGAGUCUUGUAGAGGGGGGUAGAAUUCCAGGUGUAGCGGUGAAAUGCGUAGAGAUCUGGAGGAAUACCGGUGGCGAAGGCGGCCCCCUGGACAAAGACUGACGCUCAGGUGCGAAAGCGUGGGGAGCAAAC